RNAcentral lists this ribosomal RNA (405 nucleotides) under uncultured bacterium. RNAcentral's name for it is "partial 16S ribosomal RNA". It matches the Rfam family "Bacterial small subunit ribosomal RNA", at positions 28 to 526 of the family's 1533-position model. The record is from RNAcentral.
GACGAACGCUGGCGGCGUGCUUAACACAUGCAAGUCGAGCGGCGCGGCGAACGGGUGAGUAACGCGUGAGUAACUGCCCCCCUCUCUGGGAUCACAGUUGGAAACGGCUGCUAAUACCGGAUAGUGGGGGAUGAUUCGGGUCCUAUCGGCUUGUUGGUGGGGUAGUGGCAUACCAAGGCGACGACGGGUAGCCGACCUGGGAGGGGGACCGGCCACAUGGGGCUGCGAUAGGGCGCAGACGGCUACGGGAGGCAGCGGUGGGGAAUAUGGCACAGUGGGGGAAACUCUGAUGCAGCAACGUCGCGUGCGGGAUGACGGCCUUCGGGUUGUAAACCGCUUUCAGCCAUGACGCGGUAGUGGCAGAAGAAGCACCGGCUAACUACGUGCCAGCAGCCGCGGUAAUUC